CCUACGGGAGGCAGCAGUGGGGAAUAUUGCACAAUGGGGGAAACCCUGAUGCAGCGACGCCGCGUGAGUGAAGAAGUAUUUCGGUACGUAAAGCUCUAUCAGUAGGGAAGAAAAUGACGGUACCUGACUAAGAAGCCCCGGCUAACUACGUGCCAACAGCCGCGGUAAUACGGAGGGGGCAAGCGUUAUCCGGAUUUACUGGGUGUAAAGGGAGCGUAGGCGGCAGCUCAAGUCUGUAGUGAAAUUCCAUGGCUUAACCAUGGAACUGCUUUGGAAACUGUGCAGCUAGAGUGCAGGAGAGGUAAGCGGAAUUCCUGGUGUAGCGGUGAAAUGCGUAGAUAUUAGGAGGAACACCAGUGGCGAAGGCGGCUUACUGGACUGUAACUGACGUUGAGGCUCGAAAGCGUGGGGAGCAAACAGGAUUAGAUACCCGUGUAGUC
Molecule: ribosomal RNA, 440 nt
Filed under: uncultured bacterium
Lineage: Bacteria
Description: partial 16S ribosomal RNA
Rfam family: Bacterial small subunit ribosomal RNA
Source: RNAcentral